RNAcentral lists this microRNA (24 nucleotides) under Gallid alphaherpesvirus 1. RNAcentral's name for it is "iltv-miR-I2". Its record names the gene iltv-miR-I2. The record is from miRBase by way of RNAcentral. Lineage: Duplodnaviria; Heunggongvirae; Peploviricota; Herviviricetes; Herpesvirales; Orthoherpesviridae.
GGAAGGCUGUGCGAUAGGAGCCGA